Cyprinus carpio carpio is the source of this 859-nucleotide long non-coding RNA. NCBI's taxonomy places the organism in Eukaryota, Metazoa, Chordata, Actinopteri, Cypriniformes, Cyprinidae. The record is from Ensembl.
AAUUAUUUUUAAUGGAAAAAAAGUUGGAGAGUGAAGAAAAAGCAACCAAAGCCCAGCAUACAUGGAAACUCCAGGACUGUUGGGAAAGUAUCCCAUGAUGCACCUCAUGAUGUUAUCAAGCUACAGGCUCUGUGCUCAGCAUGUCUCUGAAACGGCUGGAUGUACCGGGCAACAUCUUUCCCCAUCAGGCAUUCCCGCUGAUCGGCCCCACAGGCGUACACAGAUGAACCCAUCUGAGAUGUGUUUUCACCAGCCUCUGCUACGCAGGGAAGCAUAUUUAUCAUACAUGUUUGUUAGGGCUUAGGGUUUAGGGUGUAAAUAUUCAUGAUCUACAGUAUCAGACUGUUGCCUGAGAGCAAUGCACCAUCAGGGAGGUCAAAUGGAUUCUGCUAUAAGUGGAGUUUGCCGUUGUUUGUGCCACGCAGCAUUGUGAGGAGUGUUUUGGGUCCAAGUUAAGCUCAAUCAACAACAUUUCUGCACAUUUUCCAUUCAAACAGAAAUGAACUUCUACUCAUCCUAUAGUUUUUUAAAAGGCAAAAGUCAUGGUUAAAAUAAGGCCUUUACAUUGGUAAACAGUUCAGCAUCUGGAAGGUUACAAUGGCAACAUAUUAAUCUAAUUUCUGAUAAAGAUCUUCUUUAAAUGAAUAUUUAACACACUAAUCAUAAUUUGCUGAAAAUGUAUUCACCCUCUGGCAUCUAAGAUGUAGAUGAGUUUAUUUCUUCAUUGGAACAGAUUUGGAGAAAUUUAGUAUUAUAUCUGCAGCCAGAAUGCGAAUAAGUGAGCAGGUGAUGUAAUGCAACCAAACAUUUCUAGUAACUGUGGAACUGCACAUUGGCUUGGAGGAAUUUUGGCAACAAC